This 78-nucleotide transfer RNA is filed under the name Proteus phage 1. RNAcentral's name for it is "tRNA-Lys". It matches the Rfam family "tRNA". From Rfam's summary of the family: Transfer RNA (tRNA) molecules are approximately 80 nucleotides in length. RNAcentral also lists the same sequence under 2 other names. The record is from RNAcentral. Lineage: Duplodnaviria; Heunggongvirae; Uroviricota; Caudoviricetes; Demerecviridae.
GGGAUGUUAGCUCAAUUGGUCUAGAGCACUCGCCUUUUAAGCGAUAGGUUCGGAGUUCAAGUCUCCGACAUCCCACCA